RNAcentral lists this ribosomal RNA (253 nucleotides) under uncultured bacterium. Its description in RNAcentral is "partial 16S ribosomal RNA". It matches the Rfam family "Bacterial small subunit ribosomal RNA", at positions 524 to 776 of the family's 1533-position model. The record is from RNAcentral.
UACAGAGGUCUCAAGCGUUGUUCGGAUUCAUUGGGCGUAAAGGGUGCGUAGGUGGCGCCGUAAGUCAGGUGUGAAAUUUCGAGGCUUAACCUCGAAACUGCAUUUGAUACUGCGGUGCUUGAGGACUGGAGAGGAGACUGGAAUUCAUGGUGUAGCAGUGAAAUGCGUAGAGAUCAUGAGGAAGACCAGUGGCGAAGGCGGGUCUCUGGACAGUUCCUGACACUGAGGCACGAAGGCCAGGGGAGCAAACGGG